UACGUAGGUGGCAAGCGUUAUCCGGAAUUACUGGGCGUAAAGCGCACGCAGGCGGCUAGUCAAGUUCGACGUGAAAGCUCCCGGCUUAACUGGGAGAGGUCGUUGAAAACUGGUUAGCUUGAGGCAAUGAGAGGGGUGUAGAAUUCCCGGUGUAGUGGUGGAAUGCGUAGAUAUCCGGAAGAACACCGGUGGCGAAGGCGGCUCGCUGGGCUCUUGCUGACACUGAAUCACGACAGCGUGGGGAGCAAACAGG
This 253-nucleotide ribosomal RNA is filed under the name uncultured bacterium. Its description in RNAcentral is "partial 16S ribosomal RNA". It matches the Rfam family "Bacterial small subunit ribosomal RNA", at positions 524 to 776 of the family's 1533-position model. The record is from RNAcentral.